This 331-nucleotide ribosomal RNA is filed under the name uncultured bacterium. Its description in RNAcentral is "bacterial SSU rRNA". It matches the Rfam family "Bacterial small subunit ribosomal RNA", at positions 568 to 898 of the family's 1533-position model. The record is from RNAcentral.
CACGCAGGCGGUCGUGUAAGUUUGGGGUUACAGCUCCCGGCUCAACUGGGAGAGCGCCUUGAAGACUGCAGGACUUGAGGGCCAGAGAGGGACACAGAAUUCCGGGUGUAGUGGUGAAAUGCGUAGAUAUCCGGAGGAAUACCAAAGGCGAAGGCAGUGUCCUGGCUGGUGACUGACGCUGAGGUGCGAAAGCUAGGGGAGCGAACGGGAUUAGAUACCCCGGUAGUCCUAGCCGUAAACGAUGACCACUAGGUGUGGGAGGUAUCGACCCCUUCGUGCCGUAGCUAACGUGAUAAGUGGUCCGCCUGGGGAGUACGGUCGCAAGAUUAAA